AGUGAACGCUGGCGGCAUGCCUAAUACAUGCAAGUCGAACGGCAGCACAGUAAGAGCUUGCUCUUACGGGUGGCGAGUGGCGGACGGGUGAGGAAUACAUCGGCAUCGACUUCUUCGCGGGGGACAACGGAGGGAAACUGACGCUAAUACCGCAUACGACCUACGGCUGAAAGCAGCGGAGCUUCGGACCGUGAGCGACUGAAGGAGCCGCUGUCGGAUUAGCUAGUUGGCGGGGUAAAGGCCCACCAAGGCGACGAUCCGUAGCUGGUCUGAGAGGAUGAUCAGCCACCCUGGAACUGGGACACGGUCCAGACUCCUCCGGGAGGCAGCAGUGGGGAAUAUUGGACAAUGGGCGCAAGCCUGCUCCAGCCCUCCCGCGUGGGUGAAGAAGGCCUUCGGGUUGUAAAGCCCUUUUGUUGGGAAAGACAAGCAGCAGGUUAAUACCCCGCUGUUCUGACGGUACCCAAAGAAUAAGCACCGGCUAACUUCGUG
RNAcentral lists this ribosomal RNA (492 nucleotides) under uncultured bacterium. RNAcentral describes it as "partial 16S ribosomal RNA". It matches the Rfam family "Bacterial small subunit ribosomal RNA", at positions 29 to 507 of the family's 1533-position model. The record is from RNAcentral.